RNAcentral lists this ribosomal RNA (694 nucleotides) under uncultured bacterium. RNAcentral's name for it is "partial 16S ribosomal RNA". The record is from RNAcentral.
ACAUAGCGAAUCCAGCUUCGUGGGGUCGGGUUGCAGACCCCAGUCCGAACUGAGACAGGCUUUAAGGAUUUGAUCGUACUUACGUACAACCGUCUCUCUGUACCUGCCAUUGUAACACGUGUGUAGCCCCGGACGUAAGGGCCGUGCUGAUUUGACGUCAUCCCCACCUUCCUCACACCUUACGGUGGCAGUGUCCCCAGAGUGCCCAGCUUAACCUGAUGGCAACUAAGGAGAGGGGUUGCGCUCGUUAUGGCACUUAAGCCGACACCUCACGGCACGAGCUGACGACAACCAUGCAGCACCUUCACAGAGGCCCCGAAGGGCGUCAUUGUCUCCAAAUCCUUCCUCUGCAAUUCAAGCCCGGGUAAGGUUCCUCGCGUAUCAUCGAAUUAAACCACAUGUUCCUCCGCUUGUGCGGGCCCCCGUCAAUUCCUUUGAGUUUCACCGUUGCCGGCGUACUCCCCAGGUGGGAUGCUUAAUGCUUUCGCUUGGCCGCUGACCUGUUCAGACCAACAGCGGGCAUCCAUCGUUUACCGUGCGGACUACCAGGGUAUCUAAUCCUGUUCGAUACCCGCACUUUCGAGCUUCAGCGUCAGUUGCGCUCCAGUGAGCUGCCUUCGCAAUCGGAGUUCUUCGUGAUAUCUAAGCAUUUCACCGCUACACCACGAAUUCCGCCCACUUUGUGCGUACUCAA